This 253-nucleotide ribosomal RNA is filed under the name uncultured prokaryote. RNAcentral describes it as "partial 16S ribosomal RNA". It matches the Rfam family "Bacterial small subunit ribosomal RNA", at positions 524 to 776 of the family's 1533-position model. The record is from RNAcentral.
UACGGAGGGUACAAGCAUUAAUCGGAUUUACUGGGCGUAAAGGGUGCGUAGGCGGAUAGGAUAGUCAGAUGUGAAAUUCCGGUACUCAAUAUCGGAGCUGCAUUUGAAACUCCCUAUCUAGAGGGUAGACGGAGAGAACGGAAUUCCAUGUGUAGCGGUGAAAUGCGUAGAUAUAUGGAAGAACACCUGUGGCGUAAGCGGUUCUCUAGUUUAUUUCUGACGCUGAGGCACGAGAGUGCGGGGAGCAAACAGG